UUUUGAACUUGUAACUUACUGCUUACACUUAUAUAAAAAUGGAUCAUAUGUAUAUGUACGUGCAAAAUUGUAGAAGACUAAGUGAGACUAGCAGCACUGGGGGCCAAUCUUCAUAAUAAUGGAGAGAGAAUAGGGCUACAAUUGUAAAACAGAUCGAGCACCCAAAAAUCCUCAGUUAAUUACAGAAUGUAGUACAAGCUAUGUGGCGCCAAGAAGAAGGUGGGGGGGUACCAGCGCGAAUCCAGCACGGGUUCCGGUGGUAGCGACUCCCGGCGGCCAGGGUGGCGGCGGCGGCGGCGGUGAAAUACGAGCUGGGCGCUACUUCAGCAGGGCAGGGGAUGAUGCGGAGAAUAGAUAGGGGAGGAGAGCAAGAGGAGGCGCACCUGGAUCAACGGACGUCGCCGCCUCGCUGGAGAAGGUCACGCGGGAACGGCGGCGGCGGGCCGCGGGCCGGCGGCGUUGCCGCUCUAUUUCUGCGGGAGCCGGGAGCGGACGGCAGAUCGACCCGACGUGCCCUACGGCCCUACCCACUCCGACCCGCCCCAACCCGCAUCGCAGUGAACCCAACCCGCCCCGGCCCGCUAGCUAUCGAAACCCAUUUCCACCCAGCCCAUAGAACUCAUUUCGACCCACCCCAUUGCAUCACGCUGUUCAUUGCAUCGCAGCAGCACCUGAUGGACGGGAGGAAUUUAUCAAAAUAGGUCGUUCUAAACUGCCGCUCUGCAAAAUACGCCUGCGCUAGCUCAGGUCGUAAAAAUGGGUCGCUCAAGCGCUGUCACUCGCCAGGAGAGGUCACGACAGCUUCUGGCGUACCUGGUAGGUGGGCCCGUGUUGCUCCCUGCCGAUUUUGCCCUUACGGCCGUUCACAACGCCGUCUUCUCCCUCCAUUAACCGAAGCAUAUCGAGCUCUCAGUGUCCGCUCUCUGCUGCUCUCUGGCUCUGGAACGCCGCUCUCCUCGCGCUCUCAGUGUCCGCCGCCACCGAUCUUCACGGCCUGGCCGGCGACGGCGACGACUAACCCCACUCCUCCUCCUCUGCAGGCGAAUGUGCGGCAGCCGGCAGUGAGUGGGUUCAUCCAGAGGGUCGUGCAAGCCAUUGGAAUAGAACUGCGAAGACGUCUGCCACUCCUCCCCUUUGCAGGUAACUUUUGCCCACCCCACCCCUCUGUCACGGCGUCGCGGUGCUCAAUCCGGGCAGCUCCCAAGUUCUAUCGCCGCCGCGGCAGCGCCAUAUAUUCAAAAUAUGUUUGACCAUUAUGUGUAAUAAUUUGUGCUAACACUAGAUAUAGGUGGUGACAUUCCGUCUCCGAAGUCUACAUAUGAUAGUAGCCUUGUACUUGUGUCAGUUAGUGGCAUCCAAUCUUCAAGUGUGCCAAGUGGAGAAGGUGGACCAUCCGCUGUUUUAGAAACACAAGGUGCAGCUCCUAGUGGAGAAGGUGGACCAUCCGCUGUUUUAGAAACACAAGGUGCAGCGCCAAGUAUAGAAGGUGGAAGACCUCUUUUAUUACUAGGACCAUCCAGUGUAGCGCCAAAUCUUCCAACUACUCCAUCAUGCCAUGGCACUGGUCCUAGAAUGCUUAAAAAGAAGUUCACACCAAAAAAAAAGGAAGGCAUGAGUACCUGAUAUGUAAGAUUUGAAAUAUGUUGUGUGAACUAUGUGUUAUUUGAGACCAUGUGAAGUGUAAGAUUUGAAAUAUGUUGUGUGAACUAUGUGUUAUUUGAGACCAUGUGAAGUGUAAGAUUUGACAUAGAACUGUUGAGCUGCAUUCCCAGUUGAGACCAACAAUCUGUUCA
Molecule: RNA transcript, 1793 nt
Organism: Zea mays
Lineage: Eukaryota; Viridiplantae; Streptophyta; Magnoliopsida; Poales; Poaceae
Exons: 3
Source: RefSeq, a predicted model, not a curated record